Molecule: ribosomal RNA, 525 nt
Filed under: Klebsiella sp. J52
Lineage: Bacteria; Pseudomonadati; Pseudomonadota; Gammaproteobacteria; Enterobacterales; Enterobacteriaceae
Description: bacterial SSU rRNA
Rfam family: Bacterial small subunit ribosomal RNA
Source: RNAcentral
CUGGAAACGGUAGCUAAUACCGCAUAACGUCGCAAGACCAAAGUGGGGGACCUUCGGGCCUCAUGCCAUCAGAUGUGCCCAGAUGGGAUUAGCUAGUAGGUGGGGUAAUGGCUCACCUAGGCGACGAUCCCUAGCUGGUCUGAGAGGAUGACCAGCCACACUGGAACUGAGACACGGUCCAGACUCCUACGGGAGGCAGCAGUGGGGAAUAUUGCACAAUGGGCGCAAGCCUGAUGCAGCCAUGCCGCGUGUAUGAAGAAGGCCUUCGGGUUGUAAAGUACUUUCAGCGAGGAGGAAGGCGUUAAGGUUAAUAACUUUAGUGAUUGACGUUACUCGCAGAAGAAGCACCGGCUAACUCCGUGCCAGCAGCCGCGGUAAUACGGAGGGUGCAAGCGUUAAUCGGAAUUACUGGGCGUAAAGCGCACGCAGGCGGUUUGUUAAGUCAGAUGUGAAAUCCCCGGGCUCAACCUGGGAACUGCAUUUGAAACUGGCAAGCUUGAGUCUUGUAGAGGGGGGUAGAAUUCC